Molecule: long non-coding RNA, 1400 nt
Organism: Drosophila gunungcola (fruit fly)
Lineage: Eukaryota; Metazoa; Arthropoda; Insecta; Diptera; Drosophilidae
Exons: 3
Source: RefSeq, a predicted model, not a curated record
AAAUUUGCAUUUGCGAUUCUUGCACAUGCUCGUACGAUAGCUGCUGUUUUGUGGUGGUUCACGCUUUUUUGUUCAAGAGAAAUUUGCAUACCACGGAGUAGAUACUUUGACAAUGCAAUUCCAAAAGCCUGACAAGUCGUCCCUGGCCAGUCGCCUCCCACAUGUGGCUAAACAUCAGCGGUCUCUGGUUCCAGCCGAUGUCCCUAGGACUUUUUGCGGCUUUUUCGGUUCACUUUCCGGGGCCUCACACUGGCCGCCAAACUUUCUUAAUGAGCUUCGUACGGAUUUGCGGUUUCUUCCGCCCAUCGCGAGUAACAUGGAAAUCGAUGUGUAAAACAAUAGGCGUGUCUGUGAUUGGCUGCCUUAAGCGACUGCCUUAAGCGACUGCCAGCCCUGUAGAUGGAUAUCUCGGUCCGCACUCGCAAUAAUAACAGCACUCGAGCCCAUUGUUGGCACUCGAAUUAUAUACACAUUAUCUGGGCACCGGAUCCGGGCCAGGGACGAGCUCAGUAGCCCCACAGGACACCUUCCGCCACACAGACCAACACUUACGCAAGGAGUCAGACGUUGUUAUUUUAAUAGUUUAAGUAACCAUAAUAUGUUGAGGACUUUUUAAUAAACUUGAAACAUGAGCGAGCGUGAGCCACAAGGACACCAGAGACCAGCAGGAUGUGAACUAGGACCGGCUGCAGUCGGGCAAGAUUUAUGCAAACCAAAAUGUAGCCAAAAAUUACAGUUUAAUGGAGUAGACUCGGGGAGUGUGCGUGGUCCCGGUCGUAAUGAGCAGCGAGAAACUUGCAACAAAGCCAAGUUCGCUGUAGACAAAGGACCAGAGGCCAAGUUGGAUCCCGGGCCAGGAGCAACUCCGAAUGUAUGCAGAAGUAACUUCUCUAAUUUUGCAGGAAAUAUGAAGCCAUUAAAGUGCAGCAGACGAAACAAGGCAGCAUCUUGACUACUGCGGCACUCAGAUACUUAGAAGGGGUGCCUGCGAAAAGUAGAAGGACCUGGCACAUAAGGUGCAAGAGAAGGAGGAGGAGCUGGAGCUGAAGCUGGAGCUGGAGGAUGGACGCAACACUCCGGGGCCAUGUGGCCACCCUGCAAAGUUGUCCUCGAGAGUGUGAAAAUAAAUUGUGAAAAAGUUGUAGAAGUGAAAAUGCCAACUGGUUUGCAUGCCCCUGCCCCGAUGUCCAUCCCCGGCGCAGAUUACCACUACAGGAACGCGAUCCGGGUGAAAAGGCACUAAGCGCCCAGAGCCCGAUAUACCUACAUACAUAUCUUUAAUUGCCAACUUGGCCACUGGCUGCGAGAAAAAUGACUGCUGGUAACUGCAGCGCAGGAUUCUGGUCCAGCUGGUGUCACAUGUCCGGUAUCCGGAGCUCCACUUAAUCAUUGCCCGGCCG